Molecule: ribosomal RNA, 309 nt
Filed under: uncultured bacterium
Lineage: Bacteria
Description: partial 16S ribosomal RNA
Rfam family: Bacterial small subunit ribosomal RNA
Source: RNAcentral
AGAGACAGCAGUCGCCGCGGGAAUACGUAGGUGGCAAGCGUUGUCCGGAAUUAUUGGGCGUAAAGGGCUCGCAGGCGGUUUCUUAAGUCUGAUGUGAAAGCCCCCGGCUCAACCGGGGAGGGUCAUUGGAAACUGGGAAACUUGAGUGCAGAAGAGGAGAGUGGAAUUCCACGUGUAGCGGUGAAAUGCGUAGAGAUGUGGAGGAACACCAGUGGCGAAGGCGACUCUCUGGUCUGUAACUGACGCUGAGGAGCGAAAGCGUGGGGAGCGAACAGGAUUAGAUACCCCAGUAGUCCCUGUCUCUUAUAC